GAUGAACGCUGGCGGUAUGCUUAACACAUGCAAGUCGAACGGUACCUUCGGGUAUAGUGGCGGACGGGUGAGUAACGCGUGAGAAUCUAUCUUCAGGUCGGGGACAACAGUUAGAAAUGACUGCUAAUACCGGAUGUGCCGAAAGGUAAAAGAUUUAUUGCCUGAAAAAGAGCUCGCGUCAGAUUAGCUAGUAGGUGGUGUAAGAGACUACCUAGGCUUCGAUCUGUAGCUGGUCUGAGAGGACGAUCAGCCACACUGGAACUGAGACACGGUCCAGACUCCUACGGGAGGCAGCAGUGGGGAAUUUUCCGCAAUGGGCGAAAGCCUGACGGAGCAAUACCGCGUGAGGGACGAAGGCUCUUGGGUCGUAAACCUCUUUUCUCAAGGAAGAUUCAGACGGUACUUGAGGAAUAAGCAUCGGCUAACUCUGUG
RNAcentral lists this ribosomal RNA (432 nucleotides) under uncultured bacterium. RNAcentral's name for it is "partial 16S ribosomal RNA". It matches the Rfam family "Bacterial small subunit ribosomal RNA", at positions 28 to 507 of the family's 1533-position model. The record is from RNAcentral.